AUUGAACGCUGGCGGCAUGCCUUACACAUGCAAGUCGAACGGCAGGGGGAGCAAUCCCCUGAGAGUGGCGAACGGGUGAGUAAAGCAUCGGAACGUGACCAGUUGUGGGGGAUAACUACUCGAAAGAGUGGCUAAUACCGCAUACGACCUGAGGGUGAAAGCGGGGGACCGAAAGGCCUCGCGCAGUUGGAGCGGCCGAUGUCAGAUUAGCUAGUUGGGGGGGUAAAGGCCCACCAAGGCGACGAUCUGUAGCUGGUCUGAGAGGACGACCAGCCACACUGGGACUGAGACACGGCCCAGACUCCUACGGGAGGCAGCAGUGGGGAAUUUUGGACAAUGGGCGCAAGCCUGAUCCAGCCAUGCCGCGUGCAGGAAGAAGGCCUUCGGGUUGUAAACUGCUUUUGUCAGGGAAGAAAUCCCUUGGGUUAAUACCUCGGGGGGAUGACGGUACCUGAAGAAUAAGCACCGGCUAACUACGUGCCAGCCGCCGCGGUAA
This 496-nucleotide ribosomal RNA is filed under the name uncultured bacterium. Its description in RNAcentral is "partial 16S ribosomal RNA". It matches the Rfam family "Bacterial small subunit ribosomal RNA", at positions 29 to 523 of the family's 1533-position model. The record is from RNAcentral.